UUUUUCCUACGGGACGCAGCAGUGGGGAAUAUUGCACAAUGGGGGAAACCCUGAUGCAGCGACGCCGCGUGAGCGAAGAAGUAUUUCGGUAUGUAAAGCUCUAUCAGCAGGGAAGAAAAUGACGGUACCUGACUAAGAAGCUCCGGCUAAAUACGUGCCAGCAGCCGCGGUAAUACGUAUGGAGAAAGCGUUAUCCGGAUUUACUGGGUGUAAAGGGAGCGCAGGCGGUCCGGCAAGUCUGAUGUGAAAGGCGGGGGCUCAAC
RNAcentral lists this ribosomal RNA (263 nucleotides) under uncultured bacterium. RNAcentral describes it as "partial 16S ribosomal RNA". It matches the Rfam family "Bacterial small subunit ribosomal RNA", at positions 333 to 613 of the family's 1533-position model. The record is from RNAcentral.